AUGAGAUCCAGUUGGAACGAACCUACCUUUGAAAGAGCUAUGGUUAUGAUUUGGAAGAAAUUAAAGAGGCUGCAAUCGAUUCUAAGGAUUAUGUCAAAACCUUUAUAUGACUUGUGCACGAAAAUUGAACAAGCAAGGGAUGAUCUGCAGAGGGUACAACUGGAGCUUAAGGGAGACAUGAUGUAUUCUUCUAAAAUCGACAUGGUUCGAAAGCUUAGUGAUGGGUUUGUUGAGAGACGAUAA
Molecule: non-coding RNA, 243 nt
Organism: Vicia faba (fava bean)
Lineage: Eukaryota; Viridiplantae; Streptophyta; Magnoliopsida; Fabales; Fabaceae
Source: the annotation of a GenBank genome assembly